GACGAACGCUGGCGGCGUGCUUAACACAUGCAAGUCGAACGGAAAGGCCCUGCUUUUGUGGGGUGCUCGAGUGGCGAAAGGGUGAGUAACACGUGAGUAACCUGCCCUUGACUUUGGGAUAACUUCAGGAAACUGGGGCUAAUACCGGAUAGGAGCUCCUGCUGCAUGGUGGGGGUUGGAAAGUUUCGGCGGUUGGGGAUGGACUCGCGGCUUAUCAGCUUGUUGGUGGGGUAGUGGCUUACCAAGGCUUUGACGGGUAGCCGGCCUGAGAGGGUGACCGGCCACAUUGGGACUGAGAGACGGCCCAGACUCCUACGGGGGGCAGCAGUGGGGAAUAUUGCACAAUGGGCGGAAGCCUGAUGCAGCAACGCCGCGUGCGGGAUGACGGCCUUCGGGUUGUAAACCGCUUUCGCCUGUGACGAAGCGUGAGUGACGGUAAUGGGUAAAGAAGCACCGGCUAACUACGUG
Molecule: ribosomal RNA, 468 nt
Filed under: uncultured bacterium
Lineage: Bacteria
Description: partial 16S ribosomal RNA
Rfam family: Bacterial small subunit ribosomal RNA
Source: RNAcentral